Molecule: long non-coding RNA, 4778 nt
Filed under: Taeniopygia guttata (zebra finch)
Lineage: Eukaryota; Metazoa; Chordata; Aves; Passeriformes; Estrildidae
Description: lncRNA (ENSTGUG00000026376.1)
Source: RNAcentral
UUUUUUUUUUUUUUUCUUUUUUUUUUUAACAAAUACAUGGAAUGCUUAUGUCCUUUUGACCUUAGUUUACAAGGGUACAUGCAGGAGAAUGAGCUAAAUAUUUUAAAUAUUUUCAAGCGGGUUUUUUGUCUGCGUAUGUGUGGUAAAAGCACUUAUGCUGUCAGAAAGAGCAAAAUAUAAAACCAAAGGAAAGAACAAGCAGGGUCGUAAGAAAUACAUUACAAACUGCACAUAAAGAAUAUAUCACUUUCCAGAGGUCUCUGUUAUCAGUGUACAAAUAGAAGCCAAACCUCCAAAAGGCCUUUAUCUCUUUGUGCACAGCAUGAGGAUGCCUCCAUUUCCUCCUGCUCUGCUUCUGGCAGAAGUGAUCAUUGCUGAGUCCCUGUCUUUUAGCAGGAGCUAGAACUUGUGAAGCACUGUUCAAUUUAUUUUUUGAGCCCUUAUCCAUCUUGGUAUAAUUAAAUUAUAUUACCUGGUGUGUGAAAUGGCCAGUUUGCAAUUAAUUGUAAAGUCUCCUUUUUAAAUUUGCUUUGUUGUAUCUCUUUUCUUGACUGUUGACAUUCCUCUCUGCUCUGUACUUUGUCUUCCUCCAUCAACUCGUCUGUUCUUGGAGCUUGUGUCCUCACUGUGUAAUCUCAUUUGUUCCUAUUCCUGUGAUGUGAUGACAUAUGACAACUGACUAUUCCACCAAGUCCAUUUUUUUUUUAAACCACAUUAGUGCUUUAAUAAACUGGAAAUUACAGAACUCAUGAAGCACAAGUUUAUUUAACAGAAUUUAUUUUUAUUUAAUUAAAUAUUUAAAAUAUUUUUGUAUCAGCUCAGUGGAAUAAGAUUUUUCAAUAGUAUUAAAAAUGUUUUUUCCAUGCCUUCCCUGUAAUUUAAUCAUUAAUUAACAUGCAAGAGAAAAGACAUACAGAGAUCUCAAUACUAAUUUUCACUAAGGAGUUCCUGUCUCUCAUCUCUGGCAUCUUGCUGCUGUUGUUUCAGGUCUUUUGCUCUGCUGUGCCAACACAACCACAUCAGUGAGCUGAUUUAGUUAAAAAAAUAUUCCACAUUUUGCCUCAGAAUACUUCUAAAGAUCAAUCAGUUCCUGGGACAAUAUUACUGUAUAAACUGACACAUCCUGCAGAGCUGAGUAUCCAGACAAAGCAUAGAUGCCUUGUUUCUUUACACUGUGAGACUUCUAUUCCUCUUUUAUGGGAAUACAUUUGAAAGUAUAUUUUGGAAUAGUUCCUGACUUGAGAUUGCACAUGAUAGCAAUGCAGCUUCUUGGUUGUCCAUUCUAUGGGAUGUCUGAUCCCAACUCUCUUUUUGAGGGACACUGUGAUAGUAUUCCUAACUAUUUUUUUUACAAGCAAUAUGGGUACGUAUUGUAGAGUUACUAGAUCUCAAGAAGAAAAGAUCUUUGCUCUCCAAAACCUUUAAAAUCCUCUGGACAGAAAUGCCAUUAUAUUGGUAAAGUAUGGCUGGUGUUUGCAUUUCACCACUCACUCUUUAUGUCAAACUAUGAUACAACUGUUUGAUGGAAGCAGAUGCACAUGAGGAACAAGGUGGCCACCAUCCUGUGCACUCCAGUGACCAUCCAGUCAUUGACCUAUCUAAGAUAUGGAAAUGAAAACAAAAAUGAAAAUCACAGGAACAACUUGGAUCCAAACCAAUUUAGAUUAGUUAGAUCCUCUUAAUUUAGUUUAGUUAGCAAAAAAAGUCUGUUCUAUACCCAGACAUUAUUAUAUCCAGCUGUCUUUAAAUACAGAAAUUGGUUGCCUAAACAAAGAGAAUAUUUUCUAACAUAGUCCUGUCAGAAGAGGAAAGUGAGUUUAGCAGAGACUCAGUAUGACUCAAGGUAAUGUAUAAGGUUAUACUGUUAAAAAGAAUGCACUAGUUGCAUUUUUAAUAUAUCUAUCCUUACUACAAAUACUUGUAAAAUAGGUAGUGUAGGUGUACUUUUUUAAACGGAAAAUAAUUGCAAAAACAUCUUUCUUAGAAAUAAAAGUUAUCUGGAAGGUUGUGAUGUCAACUUCUCACCAUUAUGUUCUUUCAUACCCUUCAGUGGAAACACAAGUGUGCUGUAAAACAUUAAUGCAACUAGUCUUUGCUGUGUACAAGGCUGCAUUUUUCCCAUGUUGCAAGUUGUUUGGAGUGGCAGGCUGCAGAAAAGAAGUAUUGUUUCUCCUUAAACAUUCAUGACAAGAAGUUUAACCUUUAUGGAACAAAAAAGAGUGAGGGCCAGUCUUUUUCACCCUAUCAUCUCAUUAAUAAUAUAAAAAUGACAUCUACCUGCCUGGCUUUACUUUCUGUUGUGAAGUGGAAGCUGUUCAGAUAGCAACAGCAGCAAAGUGUUAUUACUAUGUAUGUGUGUGUGUAUAUAUAUCUGUAUAUAUGUACAUCAAUGUUUUGUGUGCACUUUUGUGACCUUGGGUUCUUGUAUCUCCACAGAAGUUGGUGUAACUUACAAGAAAAAAAAAAUCACAUUUCCAUCUGUUUUUCUAGCAUCAGAUUGGCUCAUCUUGGGUUUUCAUGCUGCAGUAUUUUCACCUCAAAACCAUGUUGAUUUUUUUACAUAACAGAAGUAUAUGAAGGUAAGGUCACAGAACACAAAAAGAGACACAAGAUACACCAUGAUACAUUUAGAAAUCCUUUAGUUAUAUUCCAAAGGAGUACAGAUUCCUUAAAAUAAGAAGAUAAUUCAAGAUUUCUUGAAAAACAGGGGAAGAGUUUGCAAGUCUGAAUAAUCUAGGCAGGGUAUAUUUGCAGUACAGGCAUUUCAUCUUUUCAGCCUGUAGGUGGGACUGUGUUUUCAGCAAACCCAUCUGUGAAAAAAAUUCUGAAUUGGCAUCAGGCAGCUCAGGCUGUUGCUAAUGCUGGCUGGAGUGAGUCAAGUGAUUCUUGACUUGUAUUUGAGUUAUUUCUGGAGAGAAAAUAGCCUCUGUCCGAAAUUACUUUAGUUGUUAAUGGGCUAUUCUGAAAUAUCUGUUCUCACUGCAGUCUGUGGGCAUUCUGCCUGCUACAAAUCUGCAACUGCAGAUUUGUUCCUACUAAAAAGCAUUUAUGUAGCUGAAAAAAAAAUGUCUGUGGAGAAAUGUUGAAUUUAUAGCUAUGGAAAAUACUGUAAGUGAACUGAUGAUGGUGUAGUAAGUGACAUUUUGAAUUGGGAUUAACAAGUAAAUUCUCAUGCAUGACUUCUUGGCUUAGAAAAACAGGUCCCUCACAGGCUAGGAUUCUUUUUUACAAAAACACUUAGGGCAAAGGGGAAGAGAAAUGUUUAUAGCACUCUAGGCCCACAGAGACACUGACUCCCAUAACACUGAAUGCAGUUACUCAGGUGAGUAAGAACCACAUACUAUGGGCCAAAUGUUAUUAUGCAAAUACUGAAAUUGGACUCUGAUGCUACUACUGCUACACAGUACUGGCUAGAUGCCUUUUGUUUCUUGUUUUGCCUCAUGCUGGCCCUAUUUCUCCCACUCUUAUUCAUUCCCAGCAGUACUUUACCUCACAAGGAGCAGCCCGUGUAAAGGGGCAGCAGCCCUAUCAUUUAUGGGGUUACUAUCUCUUCUGUUUUGUUUACACAGCUUACAUUGAAAUAAGACAGCUAGGAGAGUAUGGAGCUCACACGUAAAAUAUAUUCUGCUGAAGGAAGAAGGAAAUUAUGAGAGAUCCAACCAGAUUUUGAUGCUGUAAACACAUGUGUUGGGUCACCAUAAAGCAAUCACUACAAAGGUCAGCAUUUCAAAAUGUGUCUUAAGAAAAUGUUUUUGCUAGCUUUGUGGUAAAGAUUGCUGGUGUGUUGUAUAUUGUAACAUUCUAUUUAAUCUCCUCUAUGUUAUACAGAGCCAUUUCCAACAAAAAAUGCCUGACAUAACUUACAGCACAGGAACACACAAAACCAGCUUCACCAGGGUGGCUGUUUAUGUAAUCUUCAAGAAUACUCUGAAGUUUGAUUCAGUAAAUCAAAUAAAACGAUGAGAGGCACAUUUCUGAGACACUACCCAUCUUUAAAUUUCUGAGCUUCUUUAUUGUACCGAGCCUUGUUAGAUAAAUGUUGAUGAUUAUUUCUGUACAUCAUGUUAUCUGCUGUUCUCAUUCCACUUCUUGGUUGUAAUUGCACAAGUGCUUUGAGCUUUCUUUUUUUUUUUAAUUGAGGCAUCUUAAAGGUGAGCAGAUGGUCACCACAGAAGUGCAGGUUUCCCAUUCACAGCCUGCACAGCGAAGGCAACAACAAAAGUUAAGUUUACACAUACUGCCCUGACAACGACCUCUGUGCUGAACUAAACAAACCCCUUCUGUAAAUCCAGGAGCAUUUCUCUCCCCUUUCGAACACAAACCUGGCACUCUCUAGAAACCAUAAAAAAAUCAAACUGGGCAGCCCUGCACUGGCUUUCAGGAUGUGUGCUGCUGCAGGACACAAAAUGCUCCAGGGCGCCAUCCUUUAAGAGUUGCAGUCAAAAAGCAUCAGGUGUUCCAAAGCCUCUUUCACAAAACAAACAUCUUGCAUAUUUCACAUCACUUUAUUCCAGAAAAGGCUAACAAAAUCUGAAGCAUAGCAGUUUUAGGCCAGUGAGUAGAAUUGAACAGGGAUGAUCUUAGGUCCAGGAAGUGUUGUCCUAGUAGUUCCAAAGGUUCUUUUUUUUUUCCCGGUAAAAUAAUCUCAGACCUCUCCUUCACUGGGGUUAACCUCAGUUGCUUGGGGCGUGGGAAAUGACUCUCAAGGCAGUGGGAAAUGACAAAGACCGGCAUCCAGACCUUCUUGUCACAGGGGGCUCAGAAAGAUUCCAAAGGGA